This 541-nucleotide ribosomal RNA is filed under the name Burrowsia cataractae. Its description in RNAcentral is "partial large subunit ribosomal RNA". It matches the Rfam family "Eukaryotic large subunit ribosomal RNA", at positions 1 to 543 of the family's 3401-position model. Lineage: Eukaryota; Fungi; Ascomycota; Lecanoromycetes; Caliciales; Caliciaceae. The record is from RNAcentral.
GAUUGACCUCGGAUCAGGUAGGGAUACCCGCUGAACUUAAGCAUAUCAAUAAGCGGAGGAAAAGAAACCAACCGGGAUUGCCCCAGUAACGGCGAGUGAAGCGGCAACAGCUCAAAUUUGAAAUCUGGCCCCGUUCGGGGUCCGAGUUGUAAUUUGGAGAGGGUGCUUCGGGCGAGGCCCCGGCCUAAGUCCCUUGGAACAGGACGUCCGAGAGGGUGAGAACCCCGUAUGCGGCCGGUGACCGACCCCAAGUGAAGCCCCUUCGACGAGUCGAGUUGUUUGGGAAUGCAGCUCUAAAUGGGUGGUAAAUUUCAUCUAAAGCUAAACACUGGCCAGAGACCGAUAGCGCACAAGUAGAGUGAUCGAAAGAUGAAAAGCACUUUGGAAAGAGAGUUAAAAAGUACGUGAAAUUGUUGAAAGGGAAGCGCUUGCAACCAGACCUGUCGCCGGGCGAUCAGCCGUCGUUCUCGGCGGUGCACUCGCCCGCUGCAGGCCAGCAUCGGUUCGGGCGGUCGGAUAAAGGCCCCGGGAACGUGGCUCC